UACGGGGGGGGCAAGCGUUGUUCGGAAUUACUGGGCGUAAAGGGCUCGUAGGCGGCCAACUAAGUCAGACGUGAAAUCCCUCGGCUUAACCGGGGAACUGCGUCUGAUACUGGAUGGCUUGAGGUUGGGAGAGGGAUGCGGAAUUCCAGGUGUAGCGGUGAAAUGCGUAGAUAUCUGGAGGAACACCGGUGGCGAAGGCGGCAUCCUGGACCAAUUCUGACGCUGAGGAGCGAAAGCCAGGGGAGCAAACAGG
This 253-nucleotide ribosomal RNA is filed under the name uncultured bacterium. RNAcentral describes it as "partial 16S ribosomal RNA". It matches the Rfam family "Bacterial small subunit ribosomal RNA", at positions 524 to 776 of the family's 1533-position model. The record is from RNAcentral.